This 302-nucleotide ribosomal RNA is filed under the name uncultured bacterium. RNAcentral's name for it is "bacterial SSU rRNA". It matches the Rfam family "Bacterial small subunit ribosomal RNA", at positions 213 to 507 of the family's 1533-position model. The record is from RNAcentral.
ACGCGUAGUUGGAUGACGCCCAUUGUUCGAUAGCUAGUUGGCGGGUAACGGCCCACCAAGGCGACGAUCGAUAGCUGGUCUGAGAGGAUGAUCAGCCACACUGGAACUGAGACACGGUCCAGACCCCUACGGGAGGCAGCAGUAGGGAAUAUUGGACAAUGGGCGCAAGCCUGAUCCAGCCAUGCCGCGUGAGUGAAGAAGGCCCUCGGGUUGUAAAGCUCUUUUGUUGGGGAAGAAAAGCAGUUGGUUAAUACCCGAUUGUUCUGACGGUACCCAAAGAAUAAGCACCGGCUAACUUCGUG